UACAGAUGUCUCAAGCGUUGUUCGGAAUCACUGGGCGUAAAGGGCGUGUAGGCGGUCAAGUAAGUGGAAUGUGAAAGCCCCCGGCUUACCCGGGGAUCUGCAUCCCAAACUGCUUGGCUUGAGUACGGGAGAGGAUAGGGGAAUUCCUGGUGUAGCGGUGAAAUGCGUAGAUAUCAGGAGGAACACCGGUGGCGAAGGCGCCUAUCUGGCCCGAUACUGACGCUGAGGCGCGAAAGCUAGGGGAGCAAACGGG
Molecule: ribosomal RNA, 253 nt
Filed under: uncultured bacterium
Lineage: Bacteria
Description: partial 16S ribosomal RNA
Rfam family: Bacterial small subunit ribosomal RNA
Source: RNAcentral